This is a long non-coding RNA of Trifolium pratense (red clover), 522 nucleotides long. RefSeq lists it as uncharacterized. The transcript has 2 exons. NCBI's taxonomy places the organism in Eukaryota, Viridiplantae, Streptophyta, Magnoliopsida, Fabales, Fabaceae. The record is from RefSeq and is a predicted model, not a curated record.
AUUAAUUAAAUGAGGUAAAGAAUCAAACACAUACAUGCAUCUAAAAAAACAUUUAUUAAUAAUUAUAAUUUUAAGAAUGGUUUCUUGUUAACAAAGAAUGGGUUUUUUCACACUAUAAAGUGAUCAAGCAAUUUAUUUCUAGAUUCAUAAAAGAAAAAAUAUGGCUAAAAUUUAUAUAUCCAUUUGUGCUGUGAUUAUCAUUUUUUCCCUAUUUAUUUCAGUAACAAACUGUAUAGAACCACUGCCUAGCUGCGACCAGGAUUCCGAUUGUCCAAGGGAUUUGUGUUGGCCUCCUGAUUUUCCAAGAUGCAGGCAACAAAUGUGUUUGUGUUUCGCUAAUGAUAACUAGUCACUAGUUUCUCUUCUCUCCCCAAUUUUUUUUAAUCAAUUUUGAUCUGGAAUCACUUCUCUUGAUUGUUUUUUAUUUUCUUUAAUGUAAAUAAGUGAUAUCCACACUUUUUAGAUUUUAUUCGAGUUAGUACGGUGUUUGUCCCGUCUUGGUACGGUGUUUGAUUUUGUUCA